GAACGCGAAGAACCUUACCCGGUUUUGACAUGUACGGAAUCCUCCGGAGACGGAGGAGUGCCUUCGGGAGCCGUAACACAGGUGCUGCAUGGCUGUCGUCAGCUCGUGUCGUGAGAUGUUGGGUUAAGUCCCGCAACGAGCGCAACCCUUGUCAUUAGUUGCCAUCAUUCAGUUGGGCACUCUAAUGAGACUGCCGGUGACAAGCCGGAGGAAGGUGGGGAUGACGUCAAGUCCUCAUGGCCCUUAUGACCGGGGCUUCACACGUCAUACAGUGGUCGGUACAGAGGGUAGCCAAGCCGCGAGGCGGAGCCAAUCUCACAAAACCGAUCGUAGUCCGGAUUGCACUCUGCAACUCGAGUGCAUGAAGUCGGAAUCGCUAGUAAUCGCAGGUCAGCAUACUGCGGUGAAUACGUUCCCGGGUCUUGUACACACC
RNAcentral lists this ribosomal RNA (433 nucleotides) under uncultured bacterium. RNAcentral's name for it is "bacterial SSU rRNA". It matches the Rfam family "Bacterial small subunit ribosomal RNA", at positions 957 to 1391 of the family's 1533-position model. The record is from RNAcentral.